AUCGAUGAAGAACGCAGCGAAAUGCGAUAAGUAAUGUGAAUUGCAGAAUUCAGUGAAUCAUCGAAUCUUUGAACGCACAUUGCGCCCAUUAGUAUUCUAUUGGGCAUGCCUGUUCGAGCGUCAUUUCAACCCUUAAGCUCAGCUUAGUAUUGGGAAUCUACCGCGAGCGGUGCUACCUUGUAGCUACCCUGUAGUUCCUUAAAACCAACGGCGGAGUUAUAGUUACCUCUGAGCGCAGUAAUUUUUAUCACGCUUGGGAAGUGCUAUAGUUCUUGCCGAUAAACCCCCCAAUUUUUAAUGGUUGACCUCGGAUCAGGUAGGAAUACCCGCUGAACUUAAGCAUAUCAAUAAGCGGAGGAAAAGAAACCAACAGGGAUUGCCCUAGUAACGGCGAGUGAAGCGGCAACAGCUCAAAUUUGAAAUCUGGCCUUUGGUCCGAGUUGUAAUUUGUAGAGGAUGAUUUUGGUGCGGUACUUUCCGAGUUCCCUGGAACGGGACGCCUUAGAGGGUGAGAGCCCCGUACGGUUGGAUACCUAGCCUCUGUAAAUCUCCUUCGACGAGUCGAGUAGUUUGGGAAUGCUGCUCUAAAUGGGAGGUAAAUUUCUUCUAAAGCUAAAUACUAGCCAGAGACCGAUAGCGCACAAGUAGAGUGAUCGAAAGAUGAAAAGCACUUUGAAAAGAGGGUUAAAAAGCACGUGAAAUUGUUGAAAGGGAAGCGUUUAUGACCAGACUUUUUCUAGGCGGAUCAUCCGGUGUUCUCACCGGUGCACUUCGCCUAGUUUAGGCCAGCAUCGGUUCUUAUAGGGAGAUAAAAGCUUCAGGAAUGUGGCUCCUCCGGGAGUGUUAUAGCCUGUUGUAUAAUAUCCUUACGGGGACCGAGGUACGCGCUCUGCAAGGAUGCUGGCAUAAUGGUCAUCAACGACCCGUCUUGAAACACGG
RNAcentral lists this ribosomal RNA (939 nucleotides) under uncultured fungus. RNAcentral describes it as "eukaryotic LSU rRNA". The stretch from base 303 to 939 matches the Rfam family "Eukaryotic large subunit ribosomal RNA", at positions 1 to 664 of the family's 3401-position model. The record is from RNAcentral. Lineage: Eukaryota; Fungi.